GGGGGUGGCCAUUGGAGCAGAGGAGAGGAAAGCGGUCAUGGCCAAGGCUACCCCAGGACAGAAGAGCCUGGACAUGGGCCAUCUCCGCGGUUGCCCCUGCGAGUUGGCAACUUUUGACAGGGAAACAGCCUCAAGGACAAGGCGAGCUGUGACUGGAGCAGUUGCUAAGGGAUUUAGGAAGAGUCAGAUCCCACAAGACAAUGUGCGUUUGUGUGUUUCUCCCUCCCUCCCUCUCUCUCUCUCUCUCUCUCUCUCUCCUUUUCUCUCCCUUUCUCUCUUUCUUUCUUUCUCUCUCUCUCUCCUUUUCUCUCCCUUUCUCUUUCUUUCUCUUUUUCUUUCUCUCCCUUUCUAUUUCUCUUUUUCUCUUUCCCUUUCUCUCCCUUUCACUCUCUCUCUCUGUGUGUCUCUGUGUCUCUCUUUUUCUCUUUCCCUUUCUCUCUCUCUCUCUCCCUUUCCCUCCCCCCUCUCUUUCUCUCUCUCUUUCUCUCUUUCUCUUUCUCUGUCUGUUUUUCUCUCUUUCUCUCUCUGUCUUUUUAUCUUUCUCUUUCUCUCUCUUUCCCUUUCUCUCUCUCUUUCUUACUCUUUAUUUCUCUCUCUCUCCUUCUCUCUCUCUCUCUCCCUUUCUCUCUUUCUUUCUCUGUUCCUUUCUCUUCCUUUCUCUUUCCCUUUCUCUCCCUUUCACUCUCUCUCUCUCUCUUUCUCUCUCUCUCUCUCUCUGUCUCUCUUUUUCUCUCUUUCCCUUUCUCUCUCUCUCUCCCUUUCCCUCCCCCUCUCUUUCCCUUUCUCUCUCUCCUUCUCUCUUUGUCUGUUUUUCUUUCUUUCUCUCUCUGUCUUUUUCUCUUUCUCUUUCUUUCUCUUUCCCUUUAUCUCUCUCUUUCUUACUCUUUAUUUCUAUCUCUCUCUUUCUCUUUCUCUCUCCUUUUCUCUCCUUCUCUCUCUUUUCCUUUCUCUCCCUUUCUCUUUCUCUUUUUCUCUUUCCCUUUCUCUCCCUUUCACUCUCUCUCUCUCUUUCUCUCUGUCUCUCUGUGUCUCUCUUUUUCUCUCUUUCCUUCUCUCUCUCUCUCUCCCUUUCCCUCCCCCCUCUCUUUCCCUUUCUCUCUCUCCUUCUCUCUUUCUCUUUCUCUCUCUUUUUCUCUCUUUCUUUUUCUUUCUCUCUCUUUCUGUCUCUGACUUUUUCUCUUUCUCUCUCUUUCCCUUUCUCUCUCUCUCUUUCUUACUCUUUAUUUCUCUCUCUCUCUCUUUUCCCUUUUUUCUCUUUCUCUUUCCCUUUAUCUCUCUCUCUCUCUCUCUGUCUGUCUUUGGCCGAGUUUUGGGGAAAGGGGAGUCUAGGUGGUUAGAAAAGUGGGGGGGGGGGGUAUUCUAAAGUAUUCCUGUUAUUUGUCUUUUUGGAGGACCAAUUCAUCUUCGUUAAAUUCAAGUUUUAAAAGUACGAAUGUACCACUGAGCACACUGAUAGGUGGCACACUCAGCCUAGAGAAGGUCCUUCCUGGACUGAACAAUGUCUGAAUGGAGCAGCUGCAGGUUCCAAGAGAAGGAUAAGAGAGAAAACCAGGAGGCCAAAGGAACUAUAGAUGGAAUCUGAAGGCCCACGAACCCACACAUCGCA
RNAcentral lists this long non-coding RNA (1606 nucleotides) under Notechis scutatus (mainland tiger snake). Its description in RNAcentral is "lncRNA (ENSNSUG00000002550.1)". The record is from RNAcentral. Lineage: Eukaryota; Metazoa; Chordata; Lepidosauria; Squamata; Elapidae.